RNAcentral lists this long non-coding RNA (1275 nucleotides) under Calidris pygmaea (Spoon-billed sandpiper). Its description in RNAcentral is "lncRNA (ENSCPGG00000001864.1)". The record is from RNAcentral. Lineage: Eukaryota; Metazoa; Chordata; Aves; Charadriiformes; Scolopacidae.
AAAAGUGUCAGUAUAGCAUGAACCUUCAGUAUCUGCUGGCUUCAGAUGACUCUCCCUGCACGUGCCACACUUCCCAGUGUCUGCUUUUUGGAUCUGGGAAGGGAGAACCCAUGAGAGCAAGGUUGUAUUGAAGGCUGGAGUUAACACGUUAAUGGGUAUUGAUCUCACAGAGCAAUUGUUCGGAGGCCUUCACCAAAUCAAGUCCUUUCUGUGAGCUAACUUCAGAAAAAUGCAAAUGUCCCAGGAGAUAACUCCUUUCUUGGCAGCCCCAGAGGUCCUGCACUGCCUUCUCCCACCCGACUCUCACAGUUUGUAACAUCUGAGUAUACUUAAUAUUUCCCAGCUGUCUUAACAAUGUCUGUUAGUUUUUCCCCCCAGAAUUGACACUCCUUAUGCUUUUGGAUGUGAGAGACCAGGGUGCAAAUAAAUCCCGUGUCCUUCAUAGCUGAACAGGUUUCCUGGCUAAGAGGAGCAGCUGGUGACAGCAGUCACCACCCAGCUCCCUGGGCUACAUGGGACAGGGGGGACAGGAGGUUCUCAAGGAUUUCACAAGCUCCUGUGAUCUGCCAUGUGCGGAUCACCCCGAUGUCGGAGAAAUUAGUCUGCAGGUCCAGGAAGCACGUAAACAUCAUAUGAGGAUCACACCUGAAUUGGGGGAAAUUCUGAAGAACGAGUGUGUCAGCAGACAGGCAGGUUUGGCUGCAAUCCAGGAGGAAGGAUUGAAAGUCAACAAACAAAAGGUUCAAUUAGUGCAACAAGAGCUUUCAACAUCCUCAAAGGCAUCUAAUUGUUCAGGACAUACUGAGUAUCUGCACUUACAGAAAUCAAGCCUCAAGUGGAACUCCCCUGAAAGCAAGGCACCGGGAAGCCAAGAUUAGUUUUCAGAAACUACCAUCACAGAUGGCUUCCUGCAACACAAAGAAGGCUCCUGGCAAGGCAGUUUGCUGGAUAACAUUAGAGUUGGAUGUGGUGGAAGUAUUACCUCACAGAGACACCCAUUCAGCAGCAUUUAUUUCAUUGUGUUCAGCACAGUAGAUUUGAGCAGCUACUUUGCGCUGGCGCUGGCUUUCCUCGCGCUGCGCUCACGUACAAAUCUCUCUUGCAUGACUCUUGCCUAACAGUCGUCUGCGACCAGGUGGUCUCUGUGAGAAGUGGUUGUGCUGCAGUGAGGAAAAAAUGUAUCCUUUUUUUUUUCCCCUUCCUUUUUAAAAAAAAUAAUAUAUAUUUCUGUAGCAAAGUGGAGGAGGUGCUGCAAUGGUAUCAGAGGCUUCCUGG